CCAGACUCCUACGGGAGGCAGCAGUGAGGAAUAUUGGUCAAUGGGCGGGAGCCUGAACCAGCCAAGUCGCGUGAGGGAAGACGGUCCUAUGGAUUGUAAACCUCUUUAGGCGGGGAGCAAUGCCGGGCACGCGUGCCCGGAGGGAGAGUACCCGCAGAAUAAGCAUCGGCUAACUCCGUGCCAGCAGCCGCGGUAAUACGGAGGAUGCGAGCGUUGUCCGGAAUUACUGGGUGUAAAGGGAGCGUAGGCGGGAGGAUAAGUUGGACGUAUAAACUAUCGGCUCAACCGGUAGAGGCGUUCAAAACUGUCCUUCUUGAGUGAAGUAGAGGUAAGCGGAAUUCCUAGUGUAGCGGUGAAAUGCGUAAAUAUUAGGAGGAACACCAGUGGCGAAGGCGGCUUACUGGGCUUUAACUGACGCUGAGGCUCGAAAGCGUGGGUAGCAAACAGGAUUAGAUACCCCUGUAC
This 465-nucleotide ribosomal RNA is filed under the name uncultured bacterium. RNAcentral describes it as "bacterial SSU rRNA". It matches the Rfam family "Bacterial small subunit ribosomal RNA", at positions 331 to 793 of the family's 1533-position model. The record is from RNAcentral.